GCAGAGAUUCUCUUAUUGAAUGGCUAUACAUUUGUGAUUGUUUCAAUGCAAUUUUUGUUUGAAAGCAUUAAAAUUCAUUCAAACUUAUUCAAACUAGGCUAUAUCAUUCAAAGUUAUUCAAACUUAUCAAUAUACUGAAUGAAACUCGUCAAAAAUUGGCUAAGCGGGUGCCGAGUUUAGCAUAUAUUUUCAACGAAAC
This 199-nucleotide long non-coding RNA is filed under the name Lupinus angustifolius (narrow-leaved blue lupine). Its description in RNAcentral is "long non-coding RNA (LANG_LNC001186)". The record is from RNAcentral. Lineage: Eukaryota; Viridiplantae; Streptophyta; Magnoliopsida; Fabales; Fabaceae.